CGGGGGGCAGCAGUGGGGAAUAUUGCACAAUGGGCGCAAGCCUGAUGCAGCCAUGCCGCGUGUGUGAAGAAGGCCUUCGGGUUGUAAAGCACUUUCAGUGGGGAGGAAGGCGGUGAGGUUAAUAACCUCAUCGAUUGACGUUACCCGCAGAAGAAGCACCGGCUAACUCCGUGCCAGCAGCCGCGGUAAUACGGAGGGUGCAAGCGUUAAUCGGAAUUACUGGGCGUAAAGCGCACGCAGGCGGUCUGUCAAGUCGGAUGUGAAAUCCCCGGGCUCAACCUGGGAACUGCAUUCGAAACUGGCAGGCUAGAGUCUUGUAGAGGGGGGUAGAGUUCCAGGUGUAGCGGUGAAAUGCGUAGAGAUCUGGAGGAAUACCGGUGGCGAAGGCGGCCCCCUGGACAAAGACUGACGCUCAGGUGCGAAAGCGUGGGGAGCAAACAGGAUUAGAUACCCGAGUAGUC
Molecule: ribosomal RNA, 461 nt
Filed under: uncultured Klebsiella sp.
Lineage: Bacteria; Pseudomonadati; Pseudomonadota; Gammaproteobacteria; Enterobacterales; Enterobacteriaceae
Description: bacterial SSU rRNA
Rfam family: Bacterial small subunit ribosomal RNA
Source: RNAcentral